Molecule: long non-coding RNA, 1547 nt
Organism: Homo sapiens (human)
Lineage: Eukaryota; Metazoa; Chordata; Mammalia; Primates; Hominidae
Gene: TMEM139-AS1
Product: TMEM139 antisense RNA 1
Source: Ensembl
GGAGACUGAGAGCGCGACAAGGCCCUGGACAGAUGCCCGCGCGGGGAAGGAAGGCUGGCUUAGGAGGGGGCGUCAGCUAUGGUUUAGCAGCUUCCAGCGACCGAAACCUACAUCACAGCCGCAGCACACAAUUCCAGGAAACCUGGUGCUCAAUAUUGGGAUCUCAGGAAUCAGGACCGGCGGCUGGGGUGAAAGCCUAGCGGUCAGAGCUUAGGAGUGAGGCAGAAGCUGUUAGAGACUCUUCGCAAGUGACCCCGGGGCUACAUAUGGAUGAUUCAAGAGGGAGUCUCCUCGCCAGAAAGUUCACAUGUUUCACUCCUUCUGGCCUUCAUACCAACCCAUUGUUAAAACUGGAAGUCCCUCCACCUGGGGUCACUGACUCCACUGUUUUCAGAUAGGAUGGGGACCCUGCACUGGAGACUGCUCUCUAGCCCCUGGGCAGGAGAGGCACAGACACUGCUACGCACGCGGAGCAGGGAUCACCAGCGCUUUGACUGACUUUGCUCGUCCAGGAGGCUGGGGACAUGCGUGCCCAUGCUCAGCCCACCCCCUCUGUAGACACAAUUGGUCGCCCAUUCUGUUUAUAGGAAGUCUUCCAUCCUGCACCAGCAGCUGUCCCUAGACAGGGAUUGGGAGACAUGCAAGUUGCUUGGCUUCCUAUUACCUUGUGUUGAAAACACAAUAGGCUUUGGGAUCAGGAGUUCAUUCCAGUUAUUUUAAUGUUAUUUACUAGCAGUGUGCCCUCGUGCACAUUAUCAAACUCCUCUGACUCUUGGAAUCCUCAUUUUUCAAUAAUAACUCACAAAGCUGUCAAGCCUAAGGGUUCUAACAGCUCGAACAGCACCUGGAACAGAAGCAAUAGCCGCCACUCAGAGGUUACUUCUUCCUUCUCCGCCUUCUCUGGAUCACCUCCCUACCUCAUCCUCAAUCUAACGCUGGAAAUAUUGGAUAUGGGGUUCUUCAAUCUCAAAUAAAUCAUCUGUAGAGUCCCCUCCAGUUCCGAAAUUCUCUCUAUGUCUUGGAGUGUGUGGAAUAGCCAGGAAACCAGCCCAGGAGCUUUGACUCCCAGCCAUUCUGAUGACUCCACCUGGACCAGUGACUCCUCUGUGGCCCGCAUCCAAAUGCAACUCGGUGCACUGAGGACGGUUUUCCACACCCCUGUGAUUGCAUCCCCAACCAAUUAGCAGCACCCAUUCUCUAGCCCCUUGCCCAUCAAACUAUCAUUAAAAAACUCUAGCCGGCGGGCAUGGUGGCUCACGCCUGUAAUCCCAGCACUUUGGGAGGCUGAGGUGGGUGGAUCACUUGAGGUCAGGAGUUCAAGACCACUCUGGCCCACAUGGUGAAACCCUGUCUCUACUAAAAAUGCAAAAAUUAGCCGGGCAUGGUGGCAUGUGCCUGUAAUCCCAGUUACUCGGGGGGCUGAGUCAGGAGAAUUGCUUGAAUCCGGGAGGCAGAGGUUGCAGUGAGCCGAGAUCAUGCCACUGCACUCCAGCCUGGGUGACAUAGCAAGACUCCCUCUCAAAAGAAAAACAAAAACAAAAACAAAA